UGACCCCUGAGUGACCCCUGUGUGACCCCUGUGUGACCCCUGACCCCUGAGUGACCCCUGUGUGACCCCUGUGUGACCCCCCCGGGGGCCGGGCUGGGGGUCCCGUUCCUGCUGCACGACCUGCUGGGGGACCAGAGACUGCUCAGUGUCCCCACGCCCGCCGGGCCCCUGCUGCGUUUGGCCGAUUCCUGACCCGGAAGUUCCGGAACCUUCCAGAGGAUUCUUUAAAUCCCCGCCCCCGGAAUUCCCGCGGGGGCGUGGCCUCGGUGCCUUUAGUUAAAUUAAAUGUUAAUUACCCGCUC
Molecule: non-coding RNA, 302 nt
Organism: Cyanistes caeruleus (blue tit)
Lineage: Eukaryota; Metazoa; Chordata; Aves; Passeriformes; Paridae
Source: RefSeq, a predicted model, not a curated record